UUACACAUGCAAGUCGAACGGUAGCAGGCCUUCGGGUGCUGACGAGUGGCGGACGGGUGAGUAACGCGUAGGAAUCUGCCCUGUAGUGGGGGACAACGUGGGGAAACUCACGCUAAUACCGCAUACGCCCUGAGGGGGAAAGCGGGGGACCUUCGGGCCUCGCGCUAUGGGAUGAGCCUGCGUGGGAUUAGCUAGUUGGUAGGGUAAAGGCCUACCAAGGCGACGAUCCCUAGCCGGCCUGAGAGGGUGGCCGGCCACACUGGGACUGAGACACGGCCCAGACUCCUACGGGAGGCAGCAGUGGGGAAUAUUGGACAAUGGGCGCAAGCCUGAUCCAGCAAUGCCGCGUGUGUGAAGAAGGCCUGAGGGUUGUAAAGCACUUUCAGCGGGGAGGAAAAAGCGAAGGUUAAUACCCUUGGUCUUGACAUUACCCAGAGAAGAAGCACCGGCUAACUCCGUGCCAGCAGCCGCGGUAAUACGGAGGGUGCGAGCGUUAAUCGGAAUUACUGGGCGUAAAGCGUGCGUAGGCGGCUAUUUAAGUCAGAUGUGAAAGCCCCGGGCUUAACCUGGGAACGGCAUUUGAUACUGGGUAGCUAGAGUUUGGUAGAGGGGAGUGGAAUUUCAGGUGUAGCGGUGAAAUGCGUAGAGAUCUGAAGGAACACCAGUGGCGAAGGCGGCUCCCUGGACCAGAACUGACGCUGAGGCACGAAAGCGUGGGUAGCAAACAGGAUUAGAUACCCUGGUAGUCCACGCCGUAAACGAUGCCGACUAGCCGUUGGGUCUUUAAGGAGGCUUGGUGGCGCAGCUAACGCAAUAAGUCGGCCGCCUGGGGAGUACGGCCGCAAGGUUAAAACUCAAAUGAAUUGACGG
This 870-nucleotide ribosomal RNA is filed under the name uncultured Methylobacter sp. Its description in RNAcentral is "bacterial SSU rRNA". It matches the Rfam family "Bacterial small subunit ribosomal RNA", at positions 49 to 916 of the family's 1533-position model. The record is from RNAcentral. Lineage: Bacteria; Pseudomonadati; Pseudomonadota; Gammaproteobacteria; Methylococcales; Methylococcaceae.